RNAcentral lists this non-coding RNA (45 nucleotides) under Schistosoma mattheei. The record is from RNAcentral. Lineage: Eukaryota; Metazoa; Platyhelminthes; Trematoda; Strigeidida; Schistosomatidae.
AUGCAGCUGGCGAGUCCCAAAUAGGACGAAACGCGUGUCCUGGAU